Molecule: long non-coding RNA, 1046 nt
Organism: Anguilla rostrata (American eel)
Lineage: Eukaryota; Metazoa; Chordata; Actinopteri; Anguilliformes; Anguillidae
Exons: 3
Source: RefSeq, a predicted model, not a curated record
GUGCAGGGCGCGACACGUGAUCGCUUUACCAAAAUCCAGUAUGGCGGAAUCUGUCAGUGAGUGAUUCUUUCGCUGGCGCACUCUCCUACGGAAAUUAAACACAUUGCGUUUUUCGGGGUGGAGUGACCGCCUCCCGCGGAAUCUAGGUCGACGUCGAGCGAAGCGAGGAAGAGGACGAAGAGGCGCGCGGGACUGGAUUACGCCGUCGGCCCGCCGAGCGUGGCGCGAGCGCGCUAGACUGGACCCCCCCUCCCCUCCCCGCUGGCCCCCUCACCCCCGACGCUCGGACGCCGCGCCGAACAGGCGCGCCACGCCCCCCCGUGACUGACCUCACCCACCGGGACUCUCGUCCUCCGUUCCUCCUCUCCCCCCCCCCCCCACUCCACCAGGACCCCGUCAGCACCCCCGCAGUGGCCGCUGAGCGACACCCCCACAACAAUGAGCUCCCACAACCACCCAGAUGGACUCCCCAGUACAGACCAGCCCUUGGAGCUUCUGAAGCCAUCUGGACUCAACCACAUUCCGUCUGGUAGGAGCCCAGUUUCCUCCUCCUCUCUCUCUCCCUCACUCCCUCUCUCUCUCUCCCUCUCUGUUUCUCCCUUCCCCUCUCUCGCAAACACUUGCUCUGGUCUGGUCUCUCAAACUCUUAUCUUUCUCCCCCCCCUUCAUCUGUCCGUCAGUGUGUCUCUCUUGUCUCUGUCCGUGUUUGUGCCUGUCUGUCAGUCUGUCUGUCUGUCUGUGGUCUGUCUCCGUCUCCGGGCUGCGCUGGUGCUGUGGGAAGCCGCAGCCACAGUGAUGGAUCAGCGGCGAUGCAGCGGUCUGCUUUGGGAGUCUGUAGGGGGAUAAUGAUUGUGUACAGUGUGGAAGCACUUAAUCAGGUCACAAUUAACCGCCAUUAUCGCUCUGUGUGACAGUGCGCAGCCGCUCGGACGGGCUGCCUAGAGUACGCCUGCGUCUGGAACCUGCUAGCUGCCCAGCCUUCCGUGUGUUCAGGUGUACUGUCACAGCUGGUGUGUGUGCGUGCGUGUGUGCAUGUGUGUGCGUGU